GCGGAGGAAAAGAAACCAACAGGGAUUGCCCUAGUAACGGCGAGUGAAGCGGCAACAGCUCAAAUUUGAAAUCUGGCUUCGGCCCGAGUUGUAAUUUGCAGAGGAAGCUUUAGGCGCGGCACCUUCUGAGUCCCCUGGAACGGGGCGCCAUAGAGGGUGAGAGCCCCGUAUAGUUGGAUGCCUAGCCUGUGUAAAGCUCCUUCGACGAGUCGAGUAGUUUGGGAAUGCUGCUCAAAAUGGGAGGUAAAUUUCUUCUAAAGCUAAAUACCGGCCAGAGACCGAUAGCGCACAAGUAGAGUGAUCGAAAGAUGAAAAGCACUUUGAAAAGAGGGUUAAAUAGCACGUGAAAUUGUUGAAAGGGAAGCGCUUGUGACCAGACUUGCGCCGGGCAGAUCAUCCGGUGUUCUCACCGGUGCACUCUGCCCGGCUCAGGCCAGCAUCGGUUCUCGCGGGGGGAUAAAGGCCCUGGGAACGUAGCUCCUCCGGGAGUGUUAUAGCCCGGGGCGUAAUGCCUUCGCGGGGACCGAGGUUCGCGCAUCUGCAAGGAUGCUGGCGUAAUGGUCAUCAGCGACCCGUCUUGAAACACGGACCAAGGAGUCAAGGUUUUGCGCGAGUGUUUGGGUGUAAAACCCGCACGCGUAAUGAAAGUGAACGUAGGUGAGAGCUUCGGCGCAUCAUCGACCGAUCCUGAUGUUUUCGGAUGGAUUUGAGUAGGAGCGUUAAGCCUUGGACCCGAAAGAUGGUGAACUAUGCUUGGAUAGGGUGAAGCCAGAGGAAACUCUGGUGGAGGCUCGCAGCGGUUCUGACGUGCAAAUCGAUCGUCAAAUCUGAGCAUGGGGGCGAAAGA
RNAcentral lists this ribosomal RNA (847 nucleotides) under Chaetomium globosum. RNAcentral's name for it is "eukaryotic LSU rRNA". It matches the Rfam family "Eukaryotic large subunit ribosomal RNA", at positions 50 to 930 of the family's 3401-position model. The record is from RNAcentral. Lineage: Eukaryota; Fungi; Ascomycota; Sordariomycetes; Sordariales; Chaetomiaceae.